GACGAACGCUGGCGGCGUGCUUAACACAUGCAAGUCGAACGGAAAGGCCCUGCUUGCAGGGUACUCGAGUGGCGAACGGGUGAGUAACACGUGGGUGAUCUGCCCUUCACUUCGGGAUAAGCUUGGGAAACUGGGUCUAAUACCGGAUAGGAGCCAUCUUUAGCGUGGUGGUUGGAAAGUUUUUUCGGUGUAGGAUGAGCUCGCGGCCUAUCAGCUUGUUGGCGGGGUAAUGGCCUACCAAGGCGGCGACGGGUAGCCGGCCUGAGAGGGUGUACGGCCACAUUGAGACUGAGAGACGGCCCAGACUCCGACGGGAGGCAGCAGUGGGGAAUAUUGCACAAUGGGCGCAGGCCUGAUGCAGCGACGCCGCGUGGGGGAUGAAGGCCUUCGGGUUGUAGACUCCUUUCGCUAGGGACGAAGCUUUUUGUGACGGUACCUAGAUAAGAAGCACCGGCUAACUACGUG
Molecule: ribosomal RNA, 465 nt
Filed under: uncultured bacterium
Lineage: Bacteria
Description: partial 16S ribosomal RNA
Rfam family: Bacterial small subunit ribosomal RNA
Source: RNAcentral